UUAGCCCUGCUGUGCUCGUGAUGCCGCAUCACCGGUUUUGAGCCAACACUUAAAAAAAGGGUGUCAAUCUCACGGAUGCAAUGCGUUAGGUCUCGGCCAAGGCAAAGCUACCGGGUAGGCACCCACCUGCGAGAGCAGGUUCAAAACUCCGCAGCACACGGCAUGGCGGGGUGAAC
RNAcentral lists this non-coding RNA (176 nucleotides) under Anaerolinea thermolimosa. RNAcentral describes it as "6S / SsrS RNA". It matches the Rfam family "6S / SsrS RNA". Rfam says of the family: E. coli 6S RNA was the first non coding RNA to be sequenced, but its function was unknown until recently. It consists of 184 nucleotides that fold into an extended hairpin structure with a large single-stranded internal bulge. The 6S RNA specifically associates with RNA polymerase holoenzyme containing the sigma70 specificity factor. The record is from Rfam by way of RNAcentral. Lineage: Bacteria; Bacillati; Chloroflexota; Anaerolineae; Anaerolineales; Anaerolineaceae.